Molecule: long non-coding RNA, 979 nt
Organism: Carassius gibelio (silver crucian carp)
Lineage: Eukaryota; Metazoa; Chordata; Actinopteri; Cypriniformes; Cyprinidae
Exons: 3
Source: RefSeq, a predicted model, not a curated record
UAGAAGCACGUGACUUCAUUGACACCUGUUGAGUGACGUGUCAACUCCUGAACUCCAUGCAGCUGUGAAGAGCUCGAGUUUUGCAUAAGCAACACAUGGACAAUGUUUUUGAAUCAGAGAACUCACCACCAGACAAUUGCCCCCCUGACCUUCUACAAGCGACCUGUUGGAGCAGCUUUCAAGUGUAUACUUAAAUCUUCAUGGGAAUGGCCUCCCUGAUCCAGGAUCAGGUCUCCUUGAGCAAUCAACACCUAGAGGUUAUUUGGGAAGGAUGCUGUGUGGCUGACACCAAUGUCAUUUGAUGCAGCAUUUAACCAACAAUAAAGUGGCAUUGAUGAACAAUGUUUGAGGUGUAUAUUAGUGUUUUAUAGGGUUGUUUUCAAAUCUAAGUGUAGGAAAUUAUCUUGAUGGUUUGUCUUAAUUUUCAGCAGUUCAGUAACUUAGAAAAUAUCCUGCCUCUUUUUUGACAUUAUUUGAAAUGAAAAUUUUGUUGUCGUGUCCAUCCAAAAUACAUAUGAUUUUCUUUUUCUUUUCUUUUUUGUACUUAGGUGGAGAACUUAUGUACUAUUCACAUUGCCAUGCAGUUUAAAUGUAAAAGUUUUAAGUAAAUGAAUACUGGAGAUUAAGAUAAAAGAAAAGAAAAAAGAAAAGGCAGAAAUGUAUCAUAAACGUGGUACAUGUGAUUAUAUUCACAGCCUCAUCUUAUAUUUGCAUUAAGAAACAUUUUUUUUUUCUGAAUAAAAAAUGGGUGAACUAAUUAGUUGACCCUUAUUAAAUAUUUUGACACUAAUAUGCACUGUGAUGGAAAGGGUUGCUAUUAUGAAGAAGCUUCAGAAGCUGCAUUCUGUACAGUUUGUGGGCUCUCUGUAAUUUUCCUUUGUUACCUACAGCAGUAACAUGUAACUGGAAGUAACUAUAAUAAAUGUUUCCCAGAGUUCUCCAGGGUAAGGAAUGGUCUAGCUCAAGCUGGAUUUUUAAA